RNAcentral lists this ribosomal RNA (341 nucleotides) under uncultured bacterium. Its description in RNAcentral is "partial 16S ribosomal RNA". It matches the Rfam family "Bacterial small subunit ribosomal RNA", at positions 338 to 676 of the family's 1533-position model. The record is from RNAcentral.
CCUACGGGUGGCAGCAGUGAGGAAUAUUGGUCAAGGGACGAGAGUCUGAACCAGCCAAGUAGCGUGAAGGAUGACUGCCCUAUGGGUUGUAAACUUCUUUGAUAGGGGAAUAAAAUGGUACACGUGUGGGAUUUUGUAUGUACCAUAUGAAUAAGGAUCGGCUAACGCCGUGCCAGCAGCCUCGGUAAUACGGAGGAUCCGAGCGUGAUCCGGAUUUAUUGGGGUUAAAGGGAGCGUAGGGGGCUUGUUAAGUCAGUUGUGAAAGUUUGCGGCUCCACCGUAAAAUUGCAGGUGAAACUGGCAGUCUUGAGUACAGUUGAGGUGGGCUGCCUUCGUUUUGU